GUGCUCACUUCUGCAGCACAUUCACUAAAAUUGGACCAAUACAGGGAAGAUUAGCAUGGCCCCUGUGCAAGGAUGACAUUCAAAUUCUAAACAGUCCAUAUUUUA
RNAcentral lists this small nuclear RNA (105 nucleotides) under Nannospalax galili (Upper Galilee mountains blind mole rat). The record is from RNAcentral. Lineage: Eukaryota; Metazoa; Chordata; Mammalia; Rodentia; Spalacidae.